Molecule: RNA transcript, 4418 nt
Organism: Haliotis rufescens (red abalone)
Lineage: Eukaryota; Metazoa; Mollusca; Gastropoda; Lepetellida; Haliotidae
Exons: 9
Source: RefSeq, a predicted model, not a curated record
GAGAGCAUCUGGGCAUUGCACCGACCGCCAAAAAACGCAGUUUAGACAGCCGGCACCAAGCCACCCGGAAGGAAGCGGCAAAGCACCAAUCACAAGCGAGGUCACGAAUGCCAAAGGCCGUCAUUUCCUCCAUCGGCUGGCCAUGGGGGAGCACGUAUCUGACGGUCGCUGGCUGCAAUCACCACACCCAACCGUGCUCGCUCGGUCUUGUCGCAUCUGCAUCGAGGGAGAGUACGACUAUGCACAUGUAUCUCAAGACCCUCACCAAGAUGGCUCUGUGGCCGCCGACACAAUCUCUGACACAACUUACCACAGCCCCUGAUAUUUUCUUCUUUAUGGAGCAUUGUGAAAGUAGAGACUUGGAGCAAGUCUAACCAAUCACCCGCCUUUCCGAAACCGGAAGCAGCAAGCACCAAUCACAGGCGAGUUCACGAACGGCCUUGUUUACUUCCAUCAGCUGGCCAUGGCGGCACACACGUUUCUUGUGCACGGCAUCACCAACUUGCUGGUUCUGUCUGGUCAAAUCUUCGUCGCUGGUCAGGGACAGCUACCUGCUGACCCGAUGUCACACAACCACGGCCCUCUCCCCCCUGGCUCCCACUCCCAAGGAAACAGUUCUUUGUCUCAUCUUUUUUUAUCUUUAAAAUCUCUUCUUUUUUUCUAAACACGUAACCUUACAGUUAAUAACGUUGUCGGCACUUGUCUUUCGUGUUACUAGUAGAUUGAAUCCAUGGUGACAGUACUUUUUCUAGUGUCCUAAACUAGGAGAAAAUCACAUAUUAACAUAUUAUUUAUAAAUUUCCAUUAAGUUCAAUUUGUAGUUUAUUUCUAUGAUAUCUGGACAUUAAUUUUUGCAUUGAAUUAUGGUUUAUCUUUCUUCCUUUGGCUGUCAAUUAGUUGUGUUCAUUGUGUUGGACAUUGUUGCAGACCCAGACUAACAUGGUGGUACGGCCACCAACAUGACCUUUCCACACAUCGUCUGGACCCAGCCUCCGGACACAGCAUCUGGACAAACCCACCUGACACAUCCUCCAGACACAGCCUCCUGACACAGCCUCCUCACAGCCCCUUGAUAUUUACUUCUAGAUGGAAGAUGGUGUAAGCGAACGUUAAACCAACGUUGCCCCAGUAUUGGGCCAAUACCGCAUCUACGAUCUACGAGAGACAUCAACUGCAAUAAAUCAACGUCUGGCCAAUGGUCACCGCCAUACAAAUGGAAAUGGAAGAUUGCGGCGGUGUAGUAGAUGUUAAAGCGCUCGCUCUUGAAGCAGACAACCCACGGUACGAUGGGGAAUCAGACAACUUAGUACUUGGGAUGCAAGCGUGACAUUUCGAAGGUGAACACCCGUCAUGAGAAUGGGGUUUGUCUUUGGCUGGUGAGUUUUAUGGCAUGUUAUGCAAUGUCCUUCCUGCUCAUCGAAGUUUCAACUACCCAUGACCAGUUCCAUUGGUCGGAGAGCCGCUAUAAUACAUGAGGUCAGUGGUGCGGCUGCAGAGGCGUUAUAACACUCUCAUGUGUAAUAACCUUGGCUGCAGAGGCGUUAUAACACUCUCAUAUGUAAUAACCUUGGCUGCAGAGGCGUUAUAACACUCUCAUAUGUAAUAACCUUGGCUGCAGAGGCGUUAUAACACUCUCAUAUGUAAUAACCUUGGCUGCAGAGGCGUUAUAACACUCUCAUAUGUAAUAACCUUGGCUGCAGAGCCGUUAUAACACUCUCAUGUGUAAUAACCUUGGCUGCAGAGCCGUUAUAACACUCUCAUGUGUAAUAACCUUGGCUGCAGAGCCGUUAUAACACUCUCAUAUGUAAUAACCUUGGCUGCAGAGCCGUUAUAACACUCUCAUAUGUAAUAACCUUGGCUGCAGAGCCGUUAUAAUAGUCUCAUAUGUAAUAACGUUGGCUACAGAGCCGUUAUAACACUCAUAUGUAAAUAUUAUGUUGGCUACAGAGCCAAUAUAACACUCUCAUAUGUAAUUAUAUUGGGUAUGACGGUGUAUUCCUGGGUAUUUCUUGGUAUUGCGUUUUAUUCCUGAGUAUAGCGGCGUAUUCCUUGGUUUGAUUGGGUAUUCCUUGGUAUUGCGGGGUAUUCCGAGGCUGUGAGAGCAGCACAUGCUUGCCCUUAGAGCCGACUAUUAUGAUAAUCAGAUGGUCACGGUUUGUGAGUAGGUCUAAGGCACUGCAAUGUGAGGAGUUGAAUCUGUCAGGAAUGCCGGACACCUAGGACCGGGGGUGAAUCCCAGUUCGUCCUGAUAGUUUUGAGGUUUGUCAGCGCCAUACCGAUGAGUUUCACUUCUUAUCAAUUCCCAGAUUUUGUAAUAAGUAACUUGUGUGAAACUGGGACGCUGUCUGUGUAAUAGUAAAUGCAAGAUAUAUAUGAUUAAUCAAAUCUUCCUCAGCUGAUACAGGUUGUCGUGUUUUAGGGAUAUGAAUCUAAUUGGUUGAUGCAUGUCAUCGUAUCACAACUGCAUAGAUCAAAACUCAUGGGGUAAUUAUAAUCACUGGACUGUCUGGUCCAAAUUGAUUGUAUACAGACUGCCACUAUAUGGUUGUAAUAUUGUUGUGUGGCGUCAAUCAACAAACAUGAUGUAAGUAUUUAUGAGUAACCUUGAUCUCCAGUGUCAUCUUAUUAGGUCAGAAAUAUUCCCCUGGAGGUAAACUGGAAGUACAUCAGACGAGAAAUGGUCCAUAUGAUAUUUUGAACAGUGAAACAAAGGGCCAACAGUACAUGCAAAAUAAGUGAGCGAGUAGGUUUUUACGCCGCUUUGGGCAAUAUUCCAGCAAUAUCACGACCGGGGACACCAAUUAAGGCUUCACAUCGUACCCAUGUGGGGAAUGGAACCCGGGUCUUCGGCGUGACGAGCAAACGAUUUAACCACUCGGCGACCCCACCGCCCAGAAGCCUCCGUGCAGAAACGUGUGUCAGCUUCAUGUAUUCAGUGGUUUAUUGAACAUGUUCCUAGAUUUACUAAGGUGAUCAAAGUAACUGAUGGCUCUAGUGGUUGGACAAACCUUUUAUUAAUGUGUCAAUCUAUUGUGAGAUGUAAACAUUAUGACAGGGUCACUUCAAAUAAAGCUCUGUCCUUGGGCCACAGCACGUGACAAGAUAGGCCAAUCAGGGCCGAGUAUGGUGAACGGGUCGUCCGUGCAGCAUGUGCAGAUCAGCCUCGUCUUCCGUCCUGUGUGGUCGAUCUGAAAAAGUAUUUUGCGUGCCGGCGGGCAGCUUUCCUUGUUGACACUUACAUUUGGUGACAGGUGGAGAACGUUUGAAGGUACAACAAAUGAAAAUCUAACGUGUGGGUGACCAUGGUAAUUACAUACCUGGGGUAACUGAAGUCAUUGGGGUCGGUGCCAUACACACGGGCCUUUCAUCAGUCUUCCGAGCCAUCUGCUAUGAUGAAACUAUCAUCUUAAGAACUUCAACCUGCAUUUGGAUUCCAUCAACAAACUACUCUGAUUACUCUGAAUACUGUACACGGAUUUAGGGACCAGUGAAGAUCCGGGGUAGAAUAGGUCUUCAGCAACCCAUGUUGCUGUAAAUGGCGACGGGUGGUCAGGCUCGCGGACUUGGUUGAUGAAUGACAUCGUAUCCCAUUGCGAUUGGAUCAAUGCUUAAGAUGUCAAUCACUGGAUUGUCUGGUCCAGACACGAUUUUUUACAGACCUCCCUCAUAUAGCUGGAAUAUUGCGGUUUUAAACAACAAACCAACACGGAUUUAGGCAGGAUGCAUGUCUUACACCUAAUCCCAAUUUGAGCAAAGGUAACGUGGAGUAUGACGUCUCUGAAACUUUCAUUUCUUUAAGGAUAGUAGAAAUCAAUUUUGGUUUCUCAAAUGAGAGGUGAUGGCGAAGGACUCCCGGAAAUAAUGGGUACUGAAGCUGUCCAGAAUUAACCUGUUCCUGGUGUUAUGAGUGACGUUGUAUAUUUGUGUGGUUCACAAGGGGUCCAGUUUGGGUGGUCGGCGUCAUGCUUGAUUGACUGGGUAACUGAUUGGUGUGUGCUGAAGUAGAUAGCUUACUUGGAAAUUUGUUUACUAUAUGAGGGCAAGUUAUCGAACAGAAAUGGGGGAGGGAGAAAUAUGGCUUAACUGAACGAGGGCAGUUCAGUCCGGAGACAAAGUUAGGUCAUGAAGGAGGAAACUGGAACAAUGUGAAAUGGAAUUCAUUGGGAAUAUGAUGUGACUAUUACCUACAUUGCUUUGCUCAGAUGUGUCCCCAAUGAUUCGGAGUUGGUUUUGUCACUGGUCACACGUAUGGAAUUAUUCUAUUCUCACCGAGGCCCAAGUUUUAGCACAUCCAACGAGCUCAGAAAAAUGGAUUUUGUGGGUGUACGUUUGCAUAAUGAUUGCAAAUAGACAGCUUUGGUUACUUUAAAUAUAGAAAUAUCUUGUGUAGUUGAGCAGAAUAAAUGUUGUGUGCCAGC